Long non-coding RNA from Peromyscus californicus insignis, 13348 nucleotides. RefSeq lists it as uncharacterized. The record is from RefSeq and is a predicted model, not a curated record. The transcript has 5 exons. NCBI's taxonomy places the organism in Eukaryota, Metazoa, Chordata, Mammalia, Rodentia, Cricetidae.
AGGCGCAGAGCAGACCGUAGCAGGACCUGCUGGGUGACACUCAUUACCCAGCCCCGGCAGCCCAGUAGCAGCCUCUGGCUCACCCCUGAUCAUUCGCUGACUGACUUUUGAGGUGGAAUGCUUGUGAAAGAACUGGGACAAAACCAGGCUCAAGUCUCUACUUAGUGACUCCUGAGAGGAAGUGCCACUCAGCCUCUCUGAAGGCCUGAGGAUGGGAGGCAGCUGGACUUUAUCAUUGCCCUCCCAAGGGGAGCUAUGAAGAGAUUGAAGCCAUAAACCCGCAAAGCCAGAAGCUAUGAAGGCCACCAGCUGCUCACCAAGGUUACCACCUAACAGGACGGCAAAAAGUCUUAACAAGUUACCAGGAGAGCAGAUAAAAGGUUAAGGAUGACUGUGAUGACUUUGGCUCUUGUAUGAGCUUGAAUGGCCUUAAGGAAAAGCUUUGGAUGUACCAACUGUAAUAAGGAGAUUAAAAAAAAAAACUCCAUUACAGCUUUUUGUAAAACUUAACUGGUUGCAUAUGAAAGAACUCUGAGACAUAAGACAGAAGAAGAAAUUAAUUCCUUCUUUGAGCUCCUAUAAAAUUGACUUCCCAGGAUGGAGAAGGAAGCACUCUAAGACACUUGAAACUUUUUCUCACUCCACUAGCCUCAAGAUUCAAACAGUUCUUCGCUUCUCUGGAAAUGGAACAUUGGCAGUAUCUCCUACAGACAACUGGAUUUUCGAAAUGCAUGACUGUACAAAGCUUCCUCUUUUUUAGUCAUUGGGUGGAAUACUUCUAGAGUAUGAACAAGAGUGGGGGUACACAAGUUACACACACACACUUCUGAAGGCUGGUUUGCUCCAGACCCAGAGUAGAGAGGAAAAAUGAUUUUUAAAAAUGGCAAAUGAGUGGGUACUAAGUCAUCUGAGGGUCAUAAAGCUAAAAGAACAGAAUAAAGAAAGACAAGGUAAAUGGCCAAGAAACUAAUAAAAGAUACCUAAAAUUGAGGGAUGAAUUAAGGUCUUGAAUGAGAGGUUUAGACUUAAAGAAGAUGGAUUAUCUAGGUGGAUUUCAGUUUCAGGUAACAGAAAAGUCAGCUCUGAAUUGCUCAAGCAGUAGAUUUAUUGGCUCGUAUAUCAGGAAGCUCAGACAGAGUGAGGGUGACAGCAUUGCUGGAUGCUGAGCUCAAUACAUUGACACGAGUCUUGAUUCUCUCCCUCCUGGGUCAGUGUUAGCUCAGGACAAAGGUUUAUUUCACCGCAGUCAUGGGAGAGUCACAUGGUCCUCAUCCCCAUGGUGCUUUCUGUCCAUAUUUGAUGGGAGGGAGAGUCUGGCAGACAUGGAGGAAUCGGCCUCCCUUGAAGUAGUCAGGCUGUGGUAAUCUCUCUUAUCUGAACAGAAUCAGGACCUAGUAAGAAAAAGUAUGAAUGGACCCAGAAUAAGCUAUCGAUCUUUUUUACACCCCAGAGUAUUAGAACAGAAAACCUGACAGAUUUUAUAGUGUCCAAACCCCUGCUUUCUCAAGUGUGGGGCAGUGGUACACAAUGAGCAACAGAAAAAUGCAAUCAGAUCUAGAAAGUUCCCUUAAGUUCAAGGCUCUAAGUUCACUUGGUUGUCCUUGACCUGUUUUGUCUUAGCUGUGCUUCACAGUUUGUGUGCAGAUACAGCAUGACCUCAGGAAACCCGCUGUCCACUGAAAAUCCCACACAUUGAAAAUGUGUUGAUGACCCAUCUACUAUCAUGGCUCAACCCAACUUACCUCCUUGCCGCUAGAACCUUCUAUUACCCUCCAGUUGUGCAAGUCAUUGAACACAUACCUUCUUUUAAAGUAAUGAAUGCUCCAUGUGAUUUACUGAUGACCCAAUACUGUAAUGUAUGAUAUUUAGCUAGUUCCUCCUCCUACUGACUGAAUCGCUGGCCAGGAGCUGAGACUAGGCGCAAAUGUUCAGUGACUGCAAUACUUAAGCAUCCCAAGGGUAUGCACAGGACAUCCUAGCCUGUGCAACAAUAAAAAUUCCAAGUUAGAAGAAUGGGCUCUGGGAUGCCGUCUGGCGGUAGAGCACUAGCCAGGCAUAUGCAAGGGCCCCAGACUUGGUCUCCAGCAUUGAAAGAAAUAAAAAGGGGGUGGGGUGUCUAUUGGCUGUCUCCUGGUUUUGCACCUUUGCAGAGCCAAACCGUAGUGAGUCAGGCCUUGGUAAGUCAAACACCACCUGCAAAGCAAAACCUCCCCUCAGCCUCACAAGCACAGGAAGGGGUUCUGAUUCUGACGUGGUACUCAGCCCGAGCCCCAGCCUAUACGGCACAAAGUAUAUCCGCUGCAGGGGGACAUCCUGGCCCCCUUUUUUUUUUUUAAUCACAUUUUCAUAAUCUGCCAGGGUAACAGGAUCACCUUGGGAACUCAUUGAAAACACACCAAAAAAUUCACAGAGGCUAUGAGGCAAAAGUUGGCCGUCUACGUAAUUUUCAGUCGUAGAGCAGAAUUUGGAAACUGGGUAACUGAAGACAGAGAGAUGGGAGGAAGCCACUGCUCACUCCAAAAUCGUCCAGUUUGUUUUUUAAAAAAUCAAGUAUAUUUGUUAUUUUCAACUCGUCCCUCUUUUCUUUUUUAGUGUUUUUAUAACUACACUUCUUUAUUUUCUCUGUGUGUGUGUGUGUAUGUGUGUGUGCAUUCACACAUGGACCCCCAAUGUGCAUGCGUAGAGGUCAGAGGACAACUGGGGAGGAGGCCAGCUCUCUCCUCUUCCUGUGUGGCUCCUGGGGUUCGGCAGCAAGCACAGGUCCUGGGGUCGGCAGCAAGCCCCUUCCCACUGAGCAUCUCCUCAGUCAUCCUUUUAAUGUUCCCAAUGUGUCUAGAGCACAGCCAGGGCCUAGAGCUACUAAUCUAUAAUUUCUAGUCUUUAACUGGACACUCUGGAGGCCAACAGUGUUUGAGAUCAGUGGUUCUCAACCUGUGGGGGUGGGGGUAGGGGGCGGUCACAACCCCAUUUGGGAGGUCAACCAACCUUAUCACAGGUGUCACAUUAUCAGAUAAACUGCAUAUCAGAUAUUUACAUUGUGGUUCACAACAGUAGCAAAAGUACAGGUAAGAAGUAGCAAAGGAAAUAAUUUUAUGGUUGGGGGGGUCACCACAAUAUGAGGAACUGGAUGGAAGGGUCGCAGCAUUAGGAAGGAUGAGAAGCACUGGGUUAGAUUCACUGUCAGUUGUGGGGAAGCAAGCUGUCCCCUGAAUGAAAGCCUUGUGCCCAAACACCAGCUCCAACACCUGACGAAGACUCCGGGCCUCCUCUCUCUGGUUUCUGUAUGGACCGUGGUCUCGGAUACACUGUCCUUUCAUGUACAAAAUGAAAGAAUGUACAUGGGCAGAGUGGUUUCAUUAGGUUGGGUUGUGUUUAGUUACAUUUUUUUUGGUACUGAGACUCAAACUCAAGGCCUCAUCCAGCUCAGCAGACACAGACGUACUCCCUGGGCCUCUACCAGGGUCUUGUUGAUAAAAGGUUAAAGACUUCCACAGAACAUCCUCAGCUUCAUUUGGAGACGGGCGACAGUGAAUUCCUUUGUAACUGGAGGCAGCUGCACGCCGCUUGUCAUCGCCUGGUACAGAGGUCUCAAGGACAGAGACCAGAGGAGGACUAUGCAAUGUACCUUAAUGCUUCAGUGUGUGUGGGUGGGUGGGUGGGUGGGGGACACGCUUCCAAAAGCCUCUUUGAAGUCAUCAGAGGCCUCGUUCCUCCUUGGCUUUAUAACUCUAAGAAACAGCAAGUUAAAGAAAUUACGAAGCCGAUGGAGAAAGAUGAAAGGAUCCACCCCUCAAACGGUAGACACUACUUUCAGAAGGGAGUAGCCCAGGCUCUGUCUUUCAUAGCUGGCUGUGGUCUGGAGGAACCGCAAAGGAAAUUCAGUCCAGCCUAACAGUCAUUUCGCAAGAAUGUAUCCGCAUAGCAGGGUCACUAUGCUUCAUGUAGGAUGCAUUUUAAACUCCGCCUUUUAAAUUGGACUUAACAUCUGACUCUGUCAGGUUCCUGUGGUGAAUUGAUAAUGAAAUCAGAAGAGACGGGGUCCAUUGACUCAGAAGACCUGUGCCAUUAGUUAAGUCUUCCCUCUGUUUCUGCAACUGGCCUGACAUCCACUUAGUCACCUUGGCUUGGCACUUACCUGCGACACUAACGCUUAAGAGAGCGGAACUCAGAAUGGAGAUUGGGAGAUCCUGCAGCUCAUUUGCAUUCUUUUGCAAUAUGCUGACAGUGCUAAAUGUCUACGAAGGGUCUCAUCUGCAGGCAGAAAAUGCGUUUCUCACGUCAUCAAGCCGAAACUCACGAUCGCCUCGGAACUGUGUCAAUCACACAAAGAUGACCAGAAGGGGACCAGCUAAGAAUGAGGCCAGGAUCUACUUUUUCUUUUCUGUCUCGUGAUCCAAGCCUUUCCUGGAGUCAACGUGAAAUGUAAUUGCUCUUUUGACUCCUAUCUUCUCUCUCUCCGGGUCUGAGGAAGAGCUACACUGGUUGAUUAUUGCAGGAAUGAAAGGCGCUCUGACCUUGUCGACCGAACGCCUUGCUGCUUUCAGCGCUGCCCAUUAUACCGGGAGCAGGCAAGUCCUGGAGAGAGGCAGAAUCUAGAGCGAGCUGCUCCCUGGGCAGCCUGCCAGAAAAGGCUUCAGCAGCAGCAGUUGAGACAUUACCAAACAGCUCAGGCAGUGAAGGAAACAGCUUGGGGGGAGGAGAAGCCGAGUAUAUCAAAAUAUUGUUAGCACACACCUAAAGGGCUCUCGGUGUGCUAAGACUGCCCUGCCUCAGGCCCCUGAGCUGAAUUCUGACCUGAGAAUAUUUGCUGGGGAAGGAAGCAGCUAUCGAGUGUAAAGUACAGUUGCUGAUUUGCUGAGAAGCUGUGGUUCCCAACCUCCCUAAUUCUGUGACCCUUUAAUACAGUUCCUCAUGUUGUAGUGACCCCCAAACCAUAAAAUUAUUUUCAUUGCUACUUCAUAGCCAUAAUUUUGCUACUGUUAUGAAUCGCAAUGUAAGUAUCUGAUAUGCAGGAUAUCUGAUAUGCAAACCCUGGGAAAGGGUAAAUACUCACAGGUUGAGAACCACUGGCUUAGAUGAACAGUUGCUUCUGCAGAAGCCCUUGUGGAAAUAUUCCUAUGCAAAUCAGAACAUAGAGUGACUUUCCUGGCAGAAAGUAGGUCCAGGUAUUCACUUACAACAAUUGCUCUAGAUUCUAAAUUAUUCACCACUCACCUGCUUGGACUAUUUUUAGAAUCUGUGGUUGGAAUAAAGGUUAGGCUAGAACUAGUCACGGAAGCAGCCUGCCCCCUUUUUCCAGAGCUACAGUCAGAGGAAGCUUUGUUUAAAAUCAGCUGAGGUUGGCUUGCAUAACUAAUUUGACUCCAAUCAAGUCUAUUCAAUGAAAUGUUAUCAAGUGUUUAUUACGGGCCUAGGCAUUGUGGGAAAUACAUACGUGAAAUAUGAAGAGUACCUACAGAUUAAGGAGACCAAUCAGAUAUAUAAAUUGCACCAUUCUCUUCAUCAUCUCAUUUUGUACCUAAGAGAGCACCAGAGACUUGCAUGGUAUUGGGUACAUCUGACAAUUUUUAAGUAUGUCUUGUAAUUCCCACUUUCAAAGGAGCAGAUUUAUUGGGGCACUCUAGACAUCUGAAUUAGUCUGGCUUAAUUUCUUAUCUGCCUUAGUCUGUGCUCUGUUGCUAUAACAGACUAGUCAAGAGCGGGUAAUAUAGAAGGCAAUGUGUGUUUUGCUCACAGUUCUAGAGGCUGAAAGUCCAUAAUGGGGCAUCUGCCUCUGCUCAGCUCCUGCUGAGAGUCUCAUUGCCAUGGCCAAGUAGGCACAUGGUCCAGAGAGGGCUGAUUAAAUUUCUUCAGGAGGGAAUUCAGUCACAGGAGAAAAGUACCAAGGCACCCAGGAGGACCCUGCCCCCAUGACUAAUACCUCUUAAAGAUCCCAUCCACUCUUGAUAAUGGUGCAUUGGCAACUAAGCUUUCACAUGGAUUUGGGCAAAGAAAAGCUUUGUCCAACCAGAAUGAUCAACUCUGUGACUCCUCAAACCUGUGCAAUCUUGUUGACUUUGUUUGUCUGGUUUUGGUUUUAAUUUCACUUGAUUAAAAAAAAUAUAUUUAUUUUGUGUGUUUAUGUAUAUGUGCAUGAGUGACUGUUUGUACGUGAGCAGGUAGUUGACCACAGAGGCCAGAAGAUAGGGGGUAGAUCCCCGUGGGUCUGGCGGUACAGGAGGUUUUGACCUGCCUGACUUGGGUGUUGAGAAUUGAAUUUGGGUCCUCUGGAGAGUAGCAAGUGACCUUUACCACUGAGCGAUCUCUCUCCAGUCUCUAGGCUUUCUUGUUUUUCAAUUCUUUGAUAAUUUCAUACAUGUCUAUACCCCCUCUCCUAUUCCUCUUUCCCAAAGUAACCCUUCUUCCUCACAAGGCCUCUCCUGAAAUGAAUGAUAAGUGGUGCUGGUGGUGGCAAGGUCACGGUCAUGACAGAACCCAGUAUUAGUUUUAGAGCUUUAUUAGGAGGAAGAGGGGUGAGGGAGAAGAACCAGACCUGGGAAAGGAGCAGGAGAGCAGAGGGAAAGAUAGUGGGGUGGGGGGGAGAGAGAGCAGAGCAGAGAGAGAGAGGGUGGGGUCUGAGUCACGGCUCUUUAAGGGACAGAUUGUGUGACCACGCCACGUGGACCUGAUCACCAGCGCACACUGAUGAUGUAAGACGCAAGACCCUUUGCUUACCUCCUGAACUGCGUGUGUGCGGUCAUACAACACCUCCUACUUUUAAGUUUCUUUGUUUCCAAUGAAUUUAGUGAUGGCUGCUCACAUGAGCAGGAGGGGAGACUGUUCACAGAAACAGGAACAGUUUGUCAGUGGCUACACCGCUGAAGAAGAUACCUCCUCUCCCAGCACCCAUUCCUUCAGAGGUCCUCCUCCAGUGAGCCUCUGGCCCUCAUGAGCUCCUUUCUCCUGCACGAUGAGGUGAUGAGCCUGAACUUGAACAUUUCUUGUGGCGGUUACCAAAGCUUCAGUGAAUUGACGACUGCGAUGGUUGUGUCAUGUCCAGACUGAACUCUAUGUAGUCAAGGACAACCUUGAACUAACUUCAGAGCCUCCUGUCCCUACCAGUGCCCCCUCCCCGCACCUCCAUUGUGUUGGGAUUAUACACAUGUGCCACUGCCUCCAAUUCAGAAUCUGUGCAAACUUUAAAAGAGUCUCCACUUCUCUCAUCUUUGGUUGGCCUCGGUUCUGCAAUGGAGAACAGAUAAGCUUGAGGCAUUUUUUGUUUUUAUAGUUCUAUGAAAAAACACCAUUUUUCAAUCGUGAAUUCCAGAUUUUCUGGAACAUUCAGGCCAUCGUGUUGUAGCUCACCAUGCACACAAAAAUGGUAAUCCUUGUUAACUCUCAAAUUUGGGAAACAAAAUUUCCCUAUUUAAAAACAUAAAGAAUUACCACAGGUGGUAGACACAAUAGUUAAAGGCCAAGGAUAAAGGUAUGAAAAGAUCAUUUUCCAAAGAAGGGUAAAAUCAUGACCUUGCUAUAGAUAUAAAAAUGAACACAUGUUCAAGAUUUGAUCCUGGCCAUCAAUCAAAAAGGAGCCAGCAGAUACUGUCACCUCUUCAAGCAAAUCAAAAGUGAUACAUAGAAAAACGGGAUUGAAGUGAGGAUGGUAUAGAAGAAACCAGUGGGUUUCUUUUCUUUUUAUUCCCCCAGUGAUAGAGGAGUGAAGUCAAUUAAAUUUUUACCAGACAGGGAAGAUUUGCAUGUCUAUAAAUUACCCACAGAGAUGUAAAAUAGCUCCAAUGAAAUGGAAGAUGAGCUUCACCUGACAGAAUGGUCAAGGAAAGCGUAGAUGCCGAGUUUCCCACUCCAGCCAGGAAGGCAAAGCUUCCCAGUGAAGCCCAGUUUUCUUCCUUUUGUAAUGGAAAAGGCCUUCUGGGAUCAAUGGCACACUGACUGGAAAAGUGGCACCUUGGCAUACUAAACAUUUUAAGCUGAAGGAAUUUGAGACAGUAGAAGAAUAGGAAGGUCUCUUUCCUAAACCAGGUCAUAAAACCUAGGAAGGAUUCCUCUAAAGGUCAUAGGAUCCUCACAUGAGAGGAACUGUCCUUUGGUAAAAGGUGCACCUUCCUCUCUAAAGACACUACGAUCCGGCAAAAAUACAAACUAAGGAGUGUCUUGGUUGCUUUUCUCUUGCUGUCAUAAAAUACACUAACAAAAGCAACUUCGGGGAGAAAGGGUUUUAUCUUGACUUCGGAUGUAGAAGGAUACAGUCUUUCAUGCCUGAGAAGACACGGCAGCACACAAGGAAAGGCACGGUGGCAGGGACAAGAGGCCGUCAGGUGACAUCCACACUCAGGAAACAGUGAAUAGGAAAGGAGGGCCAGGCUUCGAAACCCCAAGGCCCACUCUAGUGACUCAUGACCCACUUCCUCAAUGAGGCUUCAACUCCUGAAGUUUCCAUAAGCACCCCAAACAGAGCCACCAGCUGGUGACCAAAUGUUUGAGCACACUAGCUUUUGGGAGAGUUUCACAUUCAAACCAAAACAACAGGCCUGUUAGUUACCGGUAAAUAUUGCCCUUUCAUCCUCCAAUCUUAUUUCACUGCCGCAGCACACCCUUCCUUAAGGCCAAGCACAAGACUACACAAGUUAGCCCACUUCUUCGUUUCCUUAUAAAGGCACGUCAGUCAGUCACAUAAAAGGUGUAGGAAAUCAGUGUCUUGGUUUUUUCUUUUGAUCUCACUUGGUGAUAGAAGCCUUGACUGUGACGUAAAUGAGAGACAAGAAAAGAAAAUAUGUGUACGCUUGUGUGCGUUUCCCCCUCUAGAACUGACCCUGAUACUGAAAUAUAUCAACACAAAAGACGGGCACUGUUAUCUUGACUAAAUCCUUGAGACCAGCGACACCAGAAGAGGAAGAAAGGCCCCAUGCUUCAUCUAUAUGACACAGCACAGAUGGCCAGUCAACUUCCGGUGGGCCUCACUCAGUGUGUUUGCUAAGUCCAAAGGUUAAACAAACGUGUGCCAUGAAAUAAAUGUUAGUAGGGCCUGCAUUAAGUCAAAGUUUCAGAUAAGUUGUCCCACAAAACAAUUGCUUGCCUUUCGUUGUUUGAACUCAGGGAUAAAGAAAAAUGCACUAAUAUCAGGUUGUUUUUAUUUUUUAUUUUAUUUAUAUUUAUUAUUAUUAUUAUUUUUUUUUGAGUCAGGCUUUCUUUGUGUAGUUCCUCCUGGCCUCAAACUCAUAAUCUUCCUGCCUCAAGCUCUCCGGUUUGGGGAUUGUAACUAUAAACCACUGUGUCUUGCAACCUCAUAUUUAAAAAACAAACAAACAAAUAAACCAAAAACCUGUGAUAGCUUGAAGGUACCACAUUCCAAAAACAGUACUAAGAAUAGUUGAAGAGAAAGACCAAUAAACCCAUAGAGGCGUCCCUCUAAUCAGACAUGGAUAGGGUUCAGGAUGUGCUACCCUAAAACAUGGCACCGUGGCAUGUUGACUAUUUUAAGGUAAAGGGAGUUGAGAGAAUUCCAGAAGCAGGGAAGUCUCUCUGACAUUCUCCUUUCCUUCUCUGAAGCCAGCCACCAAACCUGGGGAAGAUUUUCUGACCUUUGGAAGCAGGUUGCAGGACAUCAGCUGAGUCCCAAAGAAUUAGAGAAGAAUCUCAAAUAACAAGUAUGGUGACUCUGUUUCCUCACUUUGUUCCCAUUAAGUUGUAGUCUUUGGCCUAUCCAUACUUCUCCACAGCUACCCACUUUAUCAACCAGUGCUAAAAGUGCUUAGCACUAUCUGUUUCUUGGGGUCUUCAUUUUCUUACACGCAUCCAUGUUGUGUUAAACAUAUAACAAAUAAAGGUGUAUGCUCUGCUUUUCAACUUCUAAAAGUUUCUAUUGUCAGUGGGGUGUGGUGGUGGCACGUGCCUUUGACCCCAGCACUAGGGAGGCAGAGGCAAGUGGAUCUCUGUAAGUUCAAGGCCAGCCUGGUCUACACAUUGACUUACAGGCCAGCCAAGGCUACAUCAUGAUACUCUGUCCAAAAUAAAUAAGUACUUGGGGAAAGGACUUUGUCUUAGUUAGGGUACCUAUUGCUGUGAUGUAACACCAUGACCAAGAAGCAAGUUGGGGAGGAAUGGAUUUAUUUGGCUUAUACUUCCAUAUUGCUGUUCAUCGUCAAAGGAAGUCAAGACAGGAACUCAAAUAGGGCAGGAACAUGGAGGCAGGAGCUGAUGCAGAGGCCAUGGAGUAGUGCUGCUUACUGACUUGCUACACAUGCCUUGCUCAGCUUGUUUACUUAUAGAACCUAGAACCACCAGCCCAAGGAUGACACCACCCACCAUGGGAUAGGCCCUCUCUCAUCAAUCACUAUUCAUUACAGCUGGAUCUUAUGGAGGCAUUUUCUCAGUUGAGGUUCUUUCAAACAACUCUAGCUUGUGUCAAGAGACUAGUCAGCACAGGCACUUUGCUUUCUUCACACUACGUUAUUUACAAAAGAACUUUAGAGUUAGUAUUCUUCUGGUCUUUCCCAGAACCUCUGAGGUGCAGAAGAUAUACCAACACUGCGUUUCACCAAAAUGUCAUAUUUUAAAUAGUAACAUAUACAUGCCUUCUGAGUUUUCAAAAGCCCAUCGAAUGUUUAAGCAAAUGCAAGUUGGCAGGAAUGAGUAAAGAGCACACUUCUAAAUAUAGCAACAUAAUUACUGUCAUGUAAAUUACCUCCUCUAUAAAGCCUUGGAACAGUGUAAUAAAGGGCUUAUCUUGACAAAGCUGGGAUAAGUGGAGAGGUGGGUGAGUUCAGAAUGUCCACGAUUUCUGCAUCAUGACAUGGGGUGGGGAUGCCCUCUUUCAUUUCCUUUGUAAGGAGGAAGUUUAUGAUGUGUUGCUGUGCUAGUGAGAUCCUGUUUCCCUGCAGGAUCAGAUAAAGGUGGAAUUGCUAAUGACCCAUCUCUAGGGCAAGAAGGGGAGGCAGUUCUCUCUCUACACUAAUGUUCAUGGAUCUGUAUUUUAAGCCUCUCUCUGUUUCUUCUCAUCAUGAUGGGGGAGCUGUUUCCAAAUUUGCAUAAAGACAUCGCAAAUUGAGUUCCAUCAAUUCUUUUUCUAAAGUGCCAUUCAGACAAGGAAUUUGACAUCAUUGUGAUGCCUGGCCAGUCUAUGCUACCUAUUAUUUGAAUGUACUUGUCAUAUAAAAAAAAAAUAUCCAGGGCAGUUGAAUUCAACUAUCACUAAGUACGUAUUAGAUAUUUUCUCUGUGGUGUGGAAAUAGUAAACGACACAAGUGUCUUGUCCCUUUAAAAACAAAUUCUAAAUAGAAAGGCAGAAAGUUAAUUUAGGCUUCCUGGCACUAGCCAGCUCAGAAGGAGAAAGAGAGAUCAACAGUUCAAAGACAACCUAGGCAAUUCAGGGAGACUCUGUCUCAAAAAUCAACCAAACAGGGUCCGGAGAGAUGGCUCAGAAGUUAAAUGUACUUGGGAGCUCCAUGUUUGGUUCCCAGAACCCACAAUGUGGUUCAUAACCACCAGUAACUCCAGUUCUCGGAGAUCCAACGCGCUUUUCUAGGCUCCAUAGGCACCAGGGCCACAUGCGGUGAGUUUACAUGCAGUCAAAACAUUCAUACAUACAAAGUAAGUUCUUAAAAAUCAAUCAAACAAUAACGGAUAGUGAUAAAGCUGUAAUUCAAAGACAAGCUUGAUAAUGAGAAUAAUGAGGUGAGAUUGGGAGCAGAGUGGUAAGACAACACAGAGAAUUGUAGACUGUAGAUGUAGAGAUGACUUCCUGUCUUACACUGUCUUUAGAGAAAUGAAGGGAUCUACCCAGAGUCCUCAUAGGGCAACCAUUUCAUAUGCCAAAUAGAACCAAGACUAGGAGGCAGCUCUGGGCGCUGAAGCUAGAACACGGAGCAGGGGUGUAUGAGGAGCUCAGGAAAGGAGAGAUGAAAGAGCCAGCCUUUCUUCCCUGGUGUGCCAAUCACUGGACCUGCUGAAAUAACGUAGCAGCCGACAAACAGGAGGGGAGAGUGCAAAUUUAGUGCUGGGCAGCGUGAAAAGUGACCAUUGAAAGAGAUUUAGGAGCUUGCUUAUUUCUGCAUAGGGGAGAAUGAAAGCAGAUGGAGGGGAUGCUCGAGAAAGAGUAAGAGAGUUCGGAGGAGAUGGAUGGACCUGGAGCAAGAUGGCGUAACCUGGGAUAAAUUUCUCUGGGUUCUGGGUGCAGCGUCACCUUGUCCAUAAGACAAGCAUCGGCCUCCUCCACUAAUGAGCUACCUUAGGAAGGGAGUCCCAGCCAUUGACUAUCUCCAGGAAGAUCUGUCCUCUGAGGUCCAGGAGGAUACUUCAGAGGGACUCCUUGCCAGCAUCUGCUGCUCUUCUUUUGAAGUUGAGAGAGGUCAAUUUUCAGAGAUCGUUUUUUUCUGAGCCUCAGCAGAGUCUCUGACAGGCAAACUGGGCCACUGACUUCUUUUUCCCCCACCUUUCAUUACAAGCUUUCAAAGUCUCCGUAACAGGGAAACCGUGGAUGUAGCAAAAGUGCGGGGAAUGCUAGUAUGAUCUCCUGGUAAGGGAAACACAGUUGUUAACUACCAUCAUUCUCAUAUAGUAAAAAGAGUAUGAGAACGCAGAGUAAGAAAGACACUGUCUCCAGGGAACCAUUUUGAAGAUCUUGGUGACAGGAAGUAUUCCUUUGACUGACCAAACCAGGGAAGGCUCAAUAUCCCUCUCUCAACUUCCUGCGGCCCCCCAGGCCACGCCCUUCCCUGGGCUGAAGGACAGUGGGCUCCAGAGAGAACAGGAGCACCCCAAAACUGAGGUCACUCUUCUCUGAGUCAUCCAGAAGCACCAUCACUCUGUGGUGACUUGUGGCCAUGCUCCUGCUGCGCAUGCCAGCGUCACGUGGUGUCUGGGAGUGAAGUCUCUCAGGCUGAAAGGAAACCCUGAGCAUCUUCCUACACAGGCAGCCAAAGUAACUAUGAAAUAACGUUCUAUAAAGAUAGGGUGAAGCCAAGAUGCCAUUGGUAGAUGAAUGGAUAAUGAAAACGGGGUACAUUUACACGAAGGAUACGCAAAAAAAAAAUGUGGAAGAAUAUCCAGAAGGAAGGUGAUCUAAACACAGAAGGAAGAAAAAAGAAAAAUCAUGUGGAUCCUAGCUGGUAAUGUAAAAAUAUGGAUGUGGCUAAACCCUAUAAAAAAGGAGCCAAAAGAGGAUGAAAAAGAGAGGCCAAACACAGGCAGAGGGCAGAAGGGCACACAUGCCAUGAGAGCGGACCACGGUAUUGAGGCAGGAGACGAAGGAGAAAGAGAGUCAACCACGACAGGGUGACAAAGCUUGAAAAUGGCCAAACGAUGCCUAAUAAUAUGUAUGCUAAUUAAAAAUAAGUAAAUACAGGUGUGAAAU